This 235-nucleotide ribosomal RNA is filed under the name uncultured bacterium. RNAcentral describes it as "partial 16S ribosomal RNA". It matches the Rfam family "Bacterial small subunit ribosomal RNA", at positions 96 to 334 of the family's 1533-position model. The record is from RNAcentral.
UGGCGGACGGGUGAGUAAUGUCUGGGAAACUGCCCGAUGGAGGGGGAUAACUACUGGAAACGGUAGCUAAUACCGCAUAAUGUCUACGGACCAAAGCGGGGGACCUCCGGGCCUCGCGCCAUCAGAUGAACCCAUAUGGGAUUAGCUAGUAGGUGAGGUAACGGCUUACCUAGGCGACGAUCCCUAGCUGGUCUGAGAGGAUGACCAGCCACACUGGAACUGAGACACGGUCCAG